Molecule: ribosomal RNA, 216 nt
Filed under: uncultured Enterobacteriaceae bacterium
Lineage: Bacteria; Pseudomonadati; Pseudomonadota; Gammaproteobacteria; Enterobacterales; Enterobacteriaceae
Description: partial 16S ribosomal RNA
Rfam family: Bacterial small subunit ribosomal RNA
Source: RNAcentral
AGGAAGUGGGGAUGACGUCAAGUCAUCAUGGCCCUUACGAGUAGGGCUACACACGUGCUACAAUGGCAUAUACAAAGAGAAGCGAACUCGCGAGAGCAAGCGGACCUCAUAAAGUAUGUCGUAGUCCGGAUUGGAGUCUGCAACUCGACUCCAUGAAGUCGGAAUCGCUAGUAAUCGUAGAUCCAGAAUGCUACGGUGAAUAUGUUCCCGGGCCUU